RNAcentral lists this ribosomal RNA (859 nucleotides) under Staphylococcus hominis. Its description in RNAcentral is "bacterial SSU rRNA". It matches the Rfam family "Bacterial small subunit ribosomal RNA", at positions 54 to 893 of the family's 1533-position model. Lineage: Bacteria; Bacillati; Bacillota; Bacilli; Caryophanales; Staphylococcaceae. The record is from RNAcentral.
AAUGCAGUCGAGCGAACAGACGAGGAGCUUGCUCCUUUGACGUUAGCGGCGGACGGGUGAGUAACACGUAGGUAACCUACCUAUAAGACUGGGAUAACUUCGGGAAACCGGAGCUAAUACCGGAUAAUAUUUCGAACCGCAUGGUUCGAUAGUGAAAGAUGGCUUUGCUAUCACUUAUAGAUGGACCUGCGCCGUAUUAGCUAGUUGGUAAGGUAACGGCUUACCAAGGCAACGAUACGUAGCCGACCUGAGAGGGUGAUCGGCCACACUGGAACUGAGACACGGUCCAGACUCCUACGGGAGGCAGCAGUAGGGAAUCUUCCGCAAUGGGCGAAAGCCUGACGGAGCAACGCCGCGUGAGUGAUGAAGGUCUUCGGAUCGUAAAACUCUGUUAUUAGGGAAGAACAAACGUGUAAGUAACUGUGCACGUCUUGACGGUACCUAAUCAGAAAGCCACGGCUAACUACGUGCCAGCAGCCGCGGUAAUACGUAGGUGGCAAGCGUUAUCCGGAAUUAUUGGGCGUAAAGCGCGCGUAGGCGGUUUUUUAAGUCUGAUGUGAAAGCCCACGGCUCAACCGUGGAGGGUCAUUGGAAACUGGAAAACUUGAGUGCAGAAGAGGAAAGUGGAAUUCCAUGUGUAGCGGUGAAAUGCGCAGAGAUAUGGAGGAACACCAGUGGCGAAGGCGACUUUCUGGUCUGUAACUGACGCUGAUGUGCGAAAGCGUGGGGAUCAAACAGGAUUAGAUACCCUGGUAGUCCACGCCGUAAAACGAUGAGUGCUAAGUGUUUAGGGGGGUUUCCGCCCCUUAGUGCUGCAGCUAACGCAUUAGCACUCCGCCUGGGGAGUACGACCGCAAGG